AUUUUAUGGCUGGGAAAAAUGUAAACUUACAUUUUCAGCAGACCAGAGAUGAUAAAGUAUGUGUUUGUCAAAUAAAAUUCUUUACUGUGAUAAAGUAAAUCAUUCUUUGGCCUUGUGAAAAAUUAGGCCUCACUUGAACUGUUUUCACUUGGGCCUUUGCUAAUAUUUCUGUUAUCUCCAUUAGGGAUUACCAUGACAAAUGCCUUUUAUUCGCUUCGUUAAGCACUUGGGUGAAUGUGUGAACACACAGAGCUUCAUAAGUCACAAGGAAAUGAAACAAUGUGGUCUUCUGGAAAUAGUUUGAGAGCCUGACAGACUAGGACUAGCAUCUGGCUCUUCCACUUAGGAACUACAUCACUCUUGUGCAUGCUUUGUUUCUUCCCAAGGCUGAUCUCACACCACCAAAGUGAUGUUCUUGAGUGUGGAGUUAUAAAGAGAUACAGAGAUCCAUAUGAAUGACUUCCUGAAAGUAAUGUUCAACAAAUCCUUGGUGGGUGGUGAUGCUCUGAAGACAUGUGGGAAGGAUACAGGACAGAGAGGAAUUUCUGCUUCUCCAUGGCUUGGGUUGAUCCCUCAGCUCCUUCAGGCCAGUGUUCAAAUGUUAUCCCAGUACCCACUCCCCCAACACUGUUUCCAGCAUCACCCACACAUGCCUUUGCAGCUGGCUCUGUCCCCCGCUGUACCACUCCACUCUUGGCACUCAGCACAGCAGACAUACUAUGGACUGUCUUGCUUUUACUGCCCCCUCCCCUACUGAAGUUUCCCACUGUGUUCCCUCCCCAUGGUUGCCUAAUGUGUUCAUUGCUGUCCUCAGGAUCCAACUCUGCUUGGCACCUAGAAGGUGCCUGACAGACACUCUUUGAACAAUCAAGCCCCAUUGCAUGUGCAAGCCUACAAUUACUAGUUUGUUUUCUCCCCUUUGUGGAUAUAGCUAUCCCUUGGUAUCCAUGGAGAUUAGGUCCAGGACUUCCU
This is a non-coding RNA of Peromyscus maniculatus bairdii (prairie deer mouse), 972 nucleotides long. Lineage: Eukaryota; Metazoa; Chordata; Mammalia; Rodentia; Cricetidae. The record is from RefSeq and is a predicted model, not a curated record.